GAGGACCAAGGGAUCACAAGGGCCCUGAGAAUGACAAAGGGGCAUCUCUCACAAUGAUUCUGGAGGAAGAGAUGAUUUUUCAAUAUUUUACCUUUUCUGAUGAUGAAAAAGGAUAUCUACCACCAUAGAAGAAAUGGAC
RNAcentral lists this long non-coding RNA (139 nucleotides) under Monodelphis domestica (gray short-tailed opossum). RNAcentral describes it as "lncRNA (ENSMODG00000032327.2)". Lineage: Eukaryota; Metazoa; Chordata; Mammalia; Didelphimorphia; Didelphidae. The record is from RNAcentral.